UACGUAGGUGGCAAGCGUUGUCCGGAUUCAUUGGGCGUAAAGGGCGCGUAGGCGGGAUGGCAAGUCGGUCGUGAAAUCCUUCGGCUCAACCGAAGAACGUCGGCCGAUACUGCCGUUCUUGAGGGAUGCAGAGGAGAUUGGAAUUCCCGGUGUAGCGGUGAAAUGUGUAGAGAUCGGGAGGAACACCGGUGGCGAAGGCGGUUCUCUGGGCCUGACCUGACGCUGAGGAGCGAAAGCGUGGGGAGCGAACAGG
RNAcentral lists this ribosomal RNA (253 nucleotides) under uncultured bacterium. RNAcentral's name for it is "partial 16S ribosomal RNA". It matches the Rfam family "Bacterial small subunit ribosomal RNA", at positions 524 to 776 of the family's 1533-position model. The record is from RNAcentral.